GCUCAGUUAUCAGUUAGUAGAACAGAGGACUGAAAAUCCUCGUAUUACCGGUUCAAAUCUGCUAUUGACA
Molecule: transfer RNA, 70 nt
Filed under: Cucurbita moschata (crookneck pumpkin)
Lineage: Eukaryota; Viridiplantae; Streptophyta; Magnoliopsida; Cucurbitales; Cucurbitaceae
Description: tRNA-Phe
Source: RNAcentral